GAUGAACGCUGGCGGCGUGCCUAAUACAUGCAAGUCGAGCGAACGGACGAGAAGCUUGCUUCUCUGAUGUUAGCGGCGGACGGGUGAGUAACGCGUGGAUAACCUACCUAUAAGACUGGGAUAACUUCGGGAAACCGGAGCUAAUACCGGAUGAUAUUUUGAACCGCAUGGUUCAAAAGUGAAAGACGGUCUUGCUGUCACUUAUAGAUGGAUCCGCGCUGCAUUAGCUAGUUGGUAAGGUAACGGCUUACCAAGGCAACGAUGCAUAGCCGACCUGAGAGGGUGAUUCGCCAACCCGGAACCGGGACCCCGGCCAGACUUCCACGGGAGGGAGCAGUAGGGGAUCCUCCGCAAUGGGCGAAAGCCUGACGGAGCAACGCCGGGUGAGGGAUGAAGGGCUUCGGAUUGUUAAACUCUGUUAUUAGGGAAGAACAAAUGUGGAAGGAACCGGGCACAUCUUGACCGUACCUAAUCAGGAAGCCCCGGGUAACUACGGGC
This 498-nucleotide ribosomal RNA is filed under the name uncultured bacterium. RNAcentral describes it as "partial 16S ribosomal RNA". It matches the Rfam family "Bacterial small subunit ribosomal RNA", at positions 28 to 508 of the family's 1533-position model. The record is from RNAcentral.